AGAGUUUGAUCCUGGCUCAGGAUGAACGCUAGCGGCAGGCCUAACACAUGCAAGUCGAGGGGCAGCGGGAGUGCUUGCACUCGCCGGCGACCGGCGCACGGGUGCGGAACGCGUAUGGAAUCUACCUCUUUCUGGGGAAUAGCCCAUGGAAACGUGGAUUAAUACCCCAUAGUAUUCAGAGAUCGCCUGAUCUCUGUCUUAAAGCUUUGGCGGAAAGAGAUGACCAUGCGUAUCAUUAGCUAGUAGGCGAGGUAACGGCUCACCUAGGCAACGAUGAUUAGGGGUCCUGAGAGGGAGAUCCCCCACACUGGUACUGAGACACGGACCAGACUCCUACGGGAGGCAGCAGUGAGGAAUAUUGGACAAUGGUCGAAAGACUGAUCCAGCCAUGCCGCGUGCAGGAUGAAUGCCCUAUGGGUUGUAAACUGCUUUUAUACGGGAAGAACACCACCCACGUGUGGGUGACUGACGGUACCGUAAGAAUAAGGACCGGCUAACUCCGUGCCAGCAGCCGCGGUAAUACGGAGGGUCCAAGCGUUAUCCGGAAUCAUUGGGUUUAAAGGGUCCGUAGGCGGGCUAUUAAGUCAGAGGUGAAAGUUUGCAGCUCAACUGUAAAAUUGCCUUUGAUACUGGUAGUCUUGAGUUAUAGUGAAGUGGUUAGAAUAUGUGGUGUAGCGGUGAAAUGCAUAGAUAUCACAUAGAAUACCAAUUGCGAAGGCAGAUCACUAACUAUAUACUGACGCUGAUGGACGAAAGCGUGGGGAGCGAACGGGAUUAGAUACCCCGGUAGUCCACGCCGUAAACGAUGGAUACUAGCUGUUGGAUUUUUUCAGUGGCUAAGCGAAAGUGAUAAGUAUCCCACCUGGGGAGUACGUUCGCAAGAAUGAAACUCAAAGGAAUUGACGGGGGCCCGCACAAGCGGUGGAGCAUGUGGUUUAAUUCGAUGAUACGCGAGGAACCUUACCAGGGCUUAAAUGGGAAAUGACAGGGGCAGAGACGCCCCCUUCUUCGGACAUUUCUCAAGGUGCUGCAUGGUUGUCGUCAGCUCGUGCCGUGAGGUGUCAGGUUAAGUCCUAUAACGAGCGCAACCCCUACCGUUAGUUGCCAGCGAGUCAUGUCGGGGACUCUAACGGGACUGCCGGUGCAAACCGUGAGGAAGGUGGGGACGACGUCAAAUCAUCACGGCCCUUACGUCCUGGGCCACACACGUGCUACAAUGGUAGGUACAGAGGGAAGCCACCCCGCGAGGGGGAGCGGAUCUACAAAACCUAUCUCAGUUCGGAUCGGAGUCUGCAACUCGACUCCGUGAAGCUGGAAUCGCUAGUAAUCGGAUAUCAGCCAUGAUCCGGUGAAUACGUUCCCGGGCCUUGUACACACCGCCCGUCAAGCCAUGGAAGCUGGGGGUGCCUGAAGUCCGUCACCGAAAGGAGCGGCCUAGGGCAAAACUAGUAACUAGGGCUAAGUCGUAACAAGGUAGCCGUACCGGAAGGUGCGGCUG
This 1498-nucleotide ribosomal RNA is filed under the name marine metagenome. Its description in RNAcentral is "bacterial SSU rRNA". It matches the Rfam family "Bacterial small subunit ribosomal RNA". The record is from RNAcentral.